Molecule: ribosomal RNA, 777 nt
Filed under: uncultured Pseudomonadota bacterium
Lineage: Bacteria; Pseudomonadati; Pseudomonadota
Description: bacterial SSU rRNA
Rfam family: Bacterial small subunit ribosomal RNA
Source: RNAcentral
GCGAUGCCGCGUGAGUGAAGAAGGCCUUUGGGUUGUAAAGCUCUUUCNUCGGGGAAGAAAAUGACUGUACCCGAAUAAGAAGGUCCGGCUAACUUCGUGCCAGCAGCCGCGGUAAUACGAAGGGACCUAGCGUAGUUCGGAAUUACUGGGCUUAAAGAGUUCGUAGGUGGUUGAAAAAGUUAGUGGUGAAAUCCCAGAGCUUAACUCUGGAACUGCCAUUAAAACUUUUCGGCUAGAGUAUGAUAGAGGAAAGCAGAAUUUCUAGUGUAGAGGUGAAAUUCGUAGAUAUUAGAAAGAAUACCAAUUGCGAAGGCAGCUUUCUGGAUCAUUACUGACACUGAGGAACGAAAGCAUGGGUAGCGAAGAGGAUUAGAUACCCUCGUAGUCCAUGCCGUAAACGAUGUGUGUUAGACGUUGGAAAUUUAUUUUCAGUGUCGCAGGGAAACCGAUAAACACACCGCCUGGGGAGUACGACCGCAAGGUUAAAACUCAAAUGAAUUGACGGGGACCCGCACAAGUAGUGGAGCAUGUGGUUUAAUUCGAAGAUACGCGCAGAACCUUACCAACACUUGACAUGUUCGUCGCGACUCUAAGAGAUUAGAGUUUUCGGUUUGGCCGGACGAAACACAGGUGCUGCAUGGCUGUCGUCAGCUCGUGUCGUGAGAUGUUGGGUUAAGUCCCGCAACGAGCGCAACCCUCACUUUUAGUUGCCAUCAUUAAGUUGGGCACUCUGAAAGAACUGCCAGUGAUAAGCUGGAGGAAGGUGGGGAUGACGUC